GAUGAACGCUAGCGGCAGGCUUAACACAUGCAAGUCGAGGGGCAGCAUGAGGGUUAGCAAUAACCCUUGAUGGCGACCGGCGCAAGGGUGCGUAACGCGUGAGCAACUUGCCCGUUUCAGGGGGAUAACCGGUGGAAACGCCGACUAAUUCCCCAUAGUAUUGAUUACAGGCAUCUGUUGUCAAUUAAAGAGUUUCGGAUAAGGAUAGGCUCGCGUGACAUUAGCUAGACGGCGGGGUAACGGCCCACCGUGGCUACGAUGUCUAGGGGUUCUGAGAGGAAGGUCCCCACACUGGAACUGAGACACGGUCCAGACUCCUACGGGAGGCAGCAGUGAGGAAUAUUGGUCAAAUGGGCGCGAGCCUGAACCAGCCAAGUAGCGUGAAGGAUGACUGCCCUACGGGUUGUAAAACUUCUUUUGUUGGGAAUAAAGUUCAGCACGUGUGCUGUUUUGUAUGUACCAUUCGAAUAAGCAUCGGCUAAUUCCGUG
This 489-nucleotide ribosomal RNA is filed under the name uncultured bacterium. RNAcentral describes it as "bacterial SSU rRNA". It matches the Rfam family "Bacterial small subunit ribosomal RNA", at positions 28 to 507 of the family's 1533-position model. The record is from RNAcentral.